RNAcentral lists this long non-coding RNA (4157 nucleotides) under Gadus morhua (Atlantic cod). RNAcentral's name for it is "lncRNA (ENSGMOG00000026055.1)". The record is from RNAcentral. Lineage: Eukaryota; Metazoa; Chordata; Actinopteri; Gadiformes; Gadidae.
UAUGUUUUGUAUUCAGAUACACACACACGCACGCACACACACACACACACACACACACACACACACACACACACACACACAUACAUACACACACACACACACACACACACACACACACAGACAAAUAUGACUGAUAUAUAUUUAUAUAAAAAUGAAAUUAUAUGAGUGUCAGCUUUUAUUGCGCUUAUCUCAGCUGAAAAGACCCCGUAUGAUGCGUAGAUCAUGCGCUUCUCUGAUGUGUGUGACUCAAAUCAUUAGCUACAGUGGCAGUUUUAGGCAUGGGCGAACCUGGCAGCCGCCCGGGCGCCAUAUUUGUGGGUGGAGCAAAAUCACAGACGGAAUUACCCCCCCCACUGAUUAGCUAAUACAGAACAUGGGCUAAAUAAAUACGAUUAUGUCAUUCAUUUCCUGAAUAUCCAUGCAUAAAAAUCUCUCAAAAGUGAUGACAAAUAUAAAUAAUAUUGCUUCAGUAUUUAUUAAUGUUAUGGGAAGCCUUCAAAUGAAUCAUGUUACAAUUGUGCACCAAUAAUGAAUAACCCCUCCAACCAUUUGGCAGCUGAUUCUAUUAAUGAUGAAGUUAGCAGGAAACCUUAAGUUCCACUAUUUGAAAUAGAAAGAGGAAGCUGAGGUGUUUUGUCAGAAAAUGAAAAGCAGAUAAGUGACUUUCAACCCACUUGCAUAACAUGGGGGAUAUUCGCCUGGUAAGACGCAUUUCUGCUCUCUGUGUUUUACGCCAAUAUCUUGUGUCCUACUAGAAAGGGAACCGACACUUAUAAGGCACAGUAGACCAACUGUCUUGUCUGUUUACUGUAUUCUGUGGAAUUGUUCGGCUGUUGGAUGUUGUCUUUGUGAAAUGUAGUUGCCUUUCUAUUAACCACCAUGUCCGUCAACAACACCUGUCAAAACGGAAGCCUUUCACCGGGCUGCGCCCCGCAGCCGGCGGAGAGCUCGAUAGGCUUGGCCGUGGGCCUCAGCAUCUUCUUCCUGCUCCUCCUCCUCAUGGUGCCCAUCGUCUUCUACGUCUUGAAACGUUACCACAGUAACAUGUGGCGGCUGGACCGGGCCAGGCCCGGGAAGAGGGAGGACCCCGCGCAGAUCGAGCAGCAGCUGGCCGCCCAACGGUACAGCACCAUGGGCCGGGCGCCAGCCGGGGCAGAGCCAAGCCCCAUCUACGAAAACUACAGCGGCCAAACCUCCGCGGGCACAGCCUCCACGGGGGGGCCACACACGUCUCCCAGGGAACUCGAGGAAGAUUUAUACUAUCAGUGUGAUUCGGCCGAUGAUGCAAUAUACGGCAACGACCCAAACUUCAGCCUGGCCAUGCUAUCAGAGGACGGGGAGGACCCCUACAUCAUACCAGACACUCUAUGAGCCGCACGCAAACCCCUAAAUCACUCCCAUGCACACACAGGCGUACACAUACACUGCACACAUACACAUACACUGCACACAUACACAUACACAUACACAUACACUGCACACAUACGCUGCAUGUAUGCAUACACAGACACACGCACACACCCACACCCACACACACACAAACACACACACACACACACACACACACACACACACACACACACACACACACACACACACAUGCACACACACACACACACAUGCAACAUACAUAUAGACAUAGACAACAAAGCAUGAAUAAAUACAGACAUACACACACACAGAAAAUAUUUGUUGUUAUUGAUGUUUAAUGAAGUAAAUCACAAAUGUAAAAUGUAAAUAUACUCAAUUAAAGAGGUCCGUUGAACAAAAUGCUUUAUGUGUUAUAAAAAAAAACUAUGGACUUCACUCUUGGCGACAUGCAAGUAUUUAUAUUUAGACGAUCUUUUUUAAUCAUUAGUGCUGCCAUGAAUAAAUGCUGCUGGUUUUACUUCGCCACUUCUGCUUUUUGGAGAAACGGGGGCUUUCACCAUUUCGGUAAAUCCCACUAACUUUUUGUUAGUUUUAAUCUAUAUACUAUAAAUAUUUCUCUUAAGCGUUUACAUUUGCAUUGCAAGUUUUUGUUUACAACAAGAGACGUCCAGUAGGACCGUACUCCUGCCGAGAUAAAGUUAUGUAUUACAUGUACAUGUUUAAUUACAUAUAACUGACCGGUUAAGAUAAAGUUGGAAGUUAACCUGAAAUUGCUUUAUAUGCUUAUAUAUUAAUUAGAAUAAAUAACUAUAUAUUUGCAUACCGGUUCAUUAUUAAUAUUGAUUAAAUAGGCCUACUAAUACAUUACAAUAGAGCAAGGGAGAGAGGGCGAAAGAGAUUGAGAGACAGAGAGAGAGAAAGCGGGUGAGAAAUGGUUUGUAAUGUCUAAGCAUUACAGCAUAGCUGAUGAACAUUGGCAUAACACAUCCACCCACCAUCCACCACAACGAAGACAGCUAAUAAUAUUCCCUGAUCUCUGAUCACUACAAGGUCGUGACCAAAUUUUGAUUUUGGGACAUGCAUCACGUUUAGUAAACAGAAAGUGCAAAGUGCAAACUGCAAAGUAACAGACAUUUGAUAGGCUGUGGAAUACCGUAAGCAGAAUUUAGGGAAAACUAAGGCCGCCCAAUGCAAAUUUACUUAAUAUGGGCAACUAUAGUUGGGUUAAUAAAACCCAGCUACCUUGUGUACUUUUAUUUAUAAUCAAAAUAAUGAAUUUUACCGAAGUAAAAACAAGAACUCUUAUUUUUAUUUGUUUUGCUUCAUUUCCAAAUCUCUGCCCCCCAGUGGCAGAGGUUCCGGUACCGGCCUGCCGACCUAGAGAGGCUUGGAUUGUUAUCUAGCCCUAACCCUAAUUAUUUUAAACGUGUAUACUUUGGGUGGUACUGCAGCUCAGGAGCUUUCAAAGUGAAAGAUUGAAGACGUUUACAUCGGCCCUGCGUUGUUUAACCAGAAGGGAUGUCAUCCCCCGAAACAAAGAAACACACGAGUGGUUGUUACGGGACAGACAGAAACAAAGGAAGCAGCGAUCCGGGAACCGGUGAUCGUUUACCGUAAGAAAAGUUGAAUUACAGUAAACAACAGCGUCCCCUGCGUGAGAGUGAUGGCCUCUUAAUUGGCUGGCCUGUUGAUUCAAUCUCCCAGUCACUCAGUAUCCCACACCCUUUAAUAUGUCGUCUUUAUAAAUGGAGGAUCAACAAUCAUGCUGAAGCCUGACGGUGACCUUUGCCCAUACUUUGAUAAUGAAAAAAAAGGAAAUGCUUAUUUGGGAAGGGGGUGGUAUGGCUAAUAGGUUGCAUCAUUUUGGAAUUUGUUAGAGACCUGCCACCCAAUCAAUCAAUUGAAUUAGAAUAAAUAAAUACAUAUGUAACUAAAGUGUGCAUACCUGUUCAAUCAUUAAUAUUGAUCAAAUACUAAUAUAUUGUGCACGUACCAAUGUAGGCUAUAGGUAGGCCUAAGGGGUUGCCAGCUCUGGAAUGGUCUCUAGUUUUUAUGCCCUGAGAUAUAUGCAUUCUAUUUUGCAUGUUGUUACAGAUGGAUCGUGGAUACAGCGAUUUUACUGUGUCGAUUUAUAUACAUAUACUGUAUAUACAUCUAAAGUAAUUAUCAUAAUUUAUAAUAACUUAACUUAUCUAUGUAUCAUAUACCAUAAUAUCAUAACUUAUCUAUCCAACAUUCUUAAGUCAUCAUUAAAAACACAGACUCUGAUAAUAUGUAAUGAAAGUGCUUUUGCUGUAUCAUUGAAGAUAUGCAAUCUGAAUAGUGGGAGAAAUCAGUUUACACAGCAGCUGUCGUCGAUAAGUUUUGGAAAUUGAACUUGGUUCUUUCUCUUUGUCAAUUAAUAGUUAUGUUCAUUGGUUCAUCACUAGGUCAGGGCCAUUUAGAAAGACUUAAACUGUAAGACAUACAAUAUGUAGUAAAUCUAUGCGUAUAUACGUAUAAACAUAUAUAUAUAUAUAUACAUAUAUAUAUAUACAUAUAUAUAUAUAUACACACAUAGAUUUAUUUAUAGUACACAUAUAUCUUAUUUAUAGUAUAUAUAUAUAUAUAUAUAUAUAUAUAUAUAUAUAUAUAUAUAUAUAUAUAUAUAUUGAUAGAGAGUUAUAGUUGUUUAAAUAAUACCAAGUAUAUCUGUUGAAUGUAUUACAUUUAGGAAAGACAAAUAUUUAUUUCUGAAGUUAAAUUACGUAUAAUAACAGAUUUAAGGUUAAUGAAGAAUUGAGUAA